Molecule: long non-coding RNA, 972 nt
Organism: Ornithodoros turicata
Lineage: Eukaryota; Metazoa; Arthropoda; Arachnida; Ixodida; Argasidae
Exons: 7
Source: RefSeq, a predicted model, not a curated record
UCCUGGUCCUCGUUGCACUUUUAUAACUUUCCCUUUCUGGUAUUCCCUCCCUCGCAGUAGAUUGGUGAAAUACUUCAAGAGGACAAUGAUGCGCGUCCUUUGAAAAUCCGCCAUGUUAGGUUUCGGCGAAAAAAAAAAAAUCAAAAAGCCUGCAGUGCGAACGAUGUCCAGCAACACAAACAUUCGUACGAAAAUAGCCCAAGAGCAACGGAAAUGAAAAUUGUGUCGUGAAGACUGUGAGUACGUUGUUGACGUGCGUUAGCAGUUUGCUUCUGCCGUUGAAAUUAUUUGUUUUCGUUGUGCCGAAACGAUCGAAUCCAACAUGGCGGCCUCCAGAGAUUUACGGCGCCGAAGAAAACAUUCCGAAGUGUCCAUGUUCCUGACAUGGAAGUGGAGGAGGUGCCAUCACAGGUACUUUUGCAGAGCUGACACGGACACAGCAGAAAUGUUACAAGGUCCUCGAGCCGCGACACCGAGCGGAGACCACUGGAAUAAAGCGUACUCGACAUGAGGAAGGAAUGAUUGCACUGGGCCUGUGUUACUCAAGACUGCUUACUUGACGGAUCACAGCUAUUAAUUUUGAAGACCAGAGCGGCCAACAAGCGGAAGCUGUGAGCGCCACUACCACAAGCUUAUGGCGACAUCUCUUCGCCAUUUGUCACCAUCCCAAACCAUCCACAAGGUUGCAAGGCUUUUCUUCAAAGGGAACAUGAAGAAAGCAAGGACACUUUUCUUGUUGCCAGGAGCAAGAACCCUAAGCCUGAGGACACAGUUUCUCAAGCAAGCAGCUGUGUUCGAUGGGUGAUUGCUCACCGCCACAUCUCGACUGCUACUUCUACCUCUGCCGUCAGACAGAUAUUCAACGCAGAAAAAGUAGGCGCAAGUGAACAGUCUACUGAGAGCUUCCACGAAGUCAGGUGACAGCACGAGAACAACUGGCUUUUGCAGACAUGUGACACUGCCCUUCAACUU